Molecule: ribosomal RNA, 504 nt
Filed under: uncultured bacterium
Lineage: Bacteria
Description: bacterial SSU rRNA
Rfam family: Bacterial small subunit ribosomal RNA
Source: RNAcentral
CUGGCUCAGGAUGAACGCUAGCGGCAGGCCUAACACAUGCAAGUCGAGGGGCAUCGGGAGUAGCAAUACUGCCGGCGACCGGCGCAAGGGUGCGUAACGCGUGAGCAACAUGCCCGUAUCAGGGGGAUAAUCCAUGGAAACGUGGUCUAAUACCCCAUAGUAAUUAUGUAAGGCAUCUUAUAUAAUUUAAAGCUUUGGUGGAUACGGAUUGGCUCGCGUGACAUUAGCUAGAUGGUAAGGUAACGGCUUACUAUGGCUACGAUGUCUAGGGGUUCUGAGAGGAAGGUCCCCCACACUGGAACUGAGACACGGUCCAGACUCCUACGGGAGGCAGCAGUGAGGAAUAUUGGACAAUGGAUGGAAAUCUGAUCCAGCCAUGCCGCGUGCCAGGAAGACGGCCCUAUGGGUUGUAAACUGCUUUUGUAUGGGAGCAAUAAGGGCUACGCGUAGUCCGAUGAGAGUACCAUACGAAUAAGCACCGGCUAACUCCGUGCCAGCCGCGGC